AAGUAGAUAAGGGCGCAUGGGGGAUGCCUAGGCUCUCAGAGGCGAUGAAGGACGUGAUAAGCUGCGAAAAGCUGCGGGGAUUGGCAAAUACGAAUUAAUCCGCAGAUAUCCGAAUGGGACAACCCAGCUAGUUGAAGACUAGUUAUCCAGCAAUGGAGGCAAACCCGGGGAACUGAAACAUCUAAGUACCCGGAGGAAGAGAAAACAAUAGUGAUUCCCUGAGUAGUGGCGAGCGAAAAGGGAUUAGCCCAAACCUUGACUGUUACGGCAGUUGAGGGGUUGUAGGACUGAGACAUCUGAUAUAAACAGAACGAGAAUUAUCUGGGAAGGUAAGCCAAAGAGGGUGAGAGCCCCGUAUUGGUAAUGUUUAUUGAAGUAUCAGUAUCCUGAGUAGGGCGGAACAGGAGAAAUUCCGUCUGAACCAGCCGGCACCAUCCGGUAAGGCUAAAUACUCCUGAGAGACCGAUAGUGGACAAGUACCGUGAGGGAAAGGUGAAAAGUACCCUGA
Molecule: ribosomal RNA, 508 nt
Filed under: Nephroselmis pyriformis
Lineage: Eukaryota; Viridiplantae; Chlorophyta; Nephroselmidophyceae; Nephroselmidales; Nephroselmidaceae
Description: partial Bacterial large subunit ribosomal RNA
Rfam family: Bacterial large subunit ribosomal RNA
Source: RNAcentral